GCCGUCUUAGCUCAAUGGUAGAGCGUCGCGUUGUGGCCGCGAAGAUUCAGGUUCAACUCCUGGAGACGGUU
Molecule: transfer RNA, 71 nt
Filed under: Roseivivax halodurans JCM 10272
Lineage: Bacteria; Pseudomonadati; Pseudomonadota; Alphaproteobacteria; Rhodobacterales; Roseobacteraceae
Rfam family: tRNA
About the family: Transfer RNA (tRNA) molecules are approximately 80 nucleotides in length. Their secondary structure includes four short double-helical elements and three loops (D, anti-codon, and T loops). Further hydrogen bonds mediate the characteristic L-shaped molecular structure. tRNAs have two regions of fundamental functional importance: the anti-codon, which is responsible for specific mRNA codon recognition, and the 3' end, to which the tRNAs corresponding amino acid is attached (by aminoacyl-tRNA synthetases). tRNAs cope with the degeneracy of the genetic code in two manners: having more than one tRNA (with a specific anti-codon) for a particular amino acid; and 'wobble' base-pairing, i.e. permitting non-standard base-pairing at the 3rd anti-codon position.
Source: Rfam by way of RNAcentral